GAUCCGCCACACUGGGACUGAGACACGGCCCAGACUCCUACGGGAGGCAGCAGUGGGGAAUAUUGGACAAUGGGCGAAAGCCUGAUCCAGCCAUGCCGCGUGUGUGAAGAAGGCCUUUUGGUUGUAAAGCACUUUAAGCGAGGAGGAGGCUACUGAGAUUAAUACUCUAGGAUAGUGGACGUUACUCGCAGAAUAAGCACCGGCUAACUCUGUGCCAGCAGCCGCGGUAAUACAGAGGGUGCGAGCGUUAAUCGGAUUUACUGGGCGUAAAGCGUGCGUAGGCGGCUUUUUAAGUCGGAUGUGAAAUCCCUGAGCUUAACUUAGGAAUUGCAUUCGAUACUGGGAAGCUAGAGUAUGGGAGAGGAUGGUAGAAUUCCAGGUGUAGCGGUGAAAUGCGUAGAGAUCUGGAGGAAUACCGAUGGCGAAGGCAGCCAUCUGGCCUAAUACUGACGCUGAGGUACGAAAGCAUGGGGAGCAAACAGGAUUAGAUACCCUGGUAGUCCAUGCCGUAAACGAUGUCUACUAGCCGUUGGGGCCUUUGAGGCUU
Molecule: ribosomal RNA, 547 nt
Filed under: Acinetobacter sp. JA38-2
Lineage: Bacteria; Pseudomonadati; Pseudomonadota; Gammaproteobacteria; Moraxellales; Moraxellaceae
Description: bacterial SSU rRNA
Rfam family: Bacterial small subunit ribosomal RNA
Source: RNAcentral